This 492-nucleotide ribosomal RNA is filed under the name uncultured bacterium. Its description in RNAcentral is "partial 16S ribosomal RNA". It matches the Rfam family "Bacterial small subunit ribosomal RNA", at positions 29 to 507 of the family's 1533-position model. The record is from RNAcentral.
AGUGAACGCUGGCGGUAGGCCUAACACAUGCAAGUCGAACGGCAGCACAGUAAGAGCUUGCUCUUACGGGUGGCGAGUGGCGGACGGGUGAGGAAUACAUCGGAAUCUACUUUUUCGUGGGGGAUAACGUAGGGAAACUUACGCUCAUACAGCAUACGACCUACGGGUGAAAGCAGGGGAUCUUCGGACCUUGCGCGAUUGAAUGAGCCGAUGUCGGAUUAGCUAGUUGGCGGGGUAAAGGCCCACCAAGGCGACGAUCCGUAGCUGGUGUGAGAGGAUGAUCAGCCACACUGGAACUGAGACACGGUCCAGACUCCUACGAGAGGCAGCAGUGGGGAAUAUUAGACAAUGGGCGCAAGCCUGGUACAGCCAGACCGCGUGGGUGAAGAAGGCCUUCGGGGUGUAAAGCCCUUUUGUUGGGAAAGAAAAGCAGCAGGUUAAGACCCCGCUGUUCUGACGGUACCCAAAGAAUAAGCACCGGCUAACUUCGUG